GUGUCAGCAGCCGCGGUAAUACGAGAGGUGCAAGCGUUGUCCGGAUUUAUUGGGCGUAAAGCGUUUCUAAAGGCGCUUUUGCAAGUUAUCUUUUAAAGACCGAAGCUCAACUUCGGGAGGGAGGAUAAUACUGCAAGAGUUGAAAUAUUUCGGGGUUACUGGAACUAUCGGUGUAGGGGUGAAAUCCGUUGAUAUCGAUAGGAACUCCAAGGGCGAAGGCAGGUAACUAGGAAUUUUUUGACGCUGAUGAACGAAAGCUAGGGGAGCGAAAGGGAUUAGAAACCCCUGUAGUCC
Molecule: ribosomal RNA, 294 nt
Filed under: uncultured bacterium
Lineage: Bacteria
Description: partial 16S ribosomal RNA
Rfam family: Bacterial small subunit ribosomal RNA
Source: RNAcentral